AUGGAAAAUACCUUCCCCUCAUCUUCUUUCUUCAACAUGAACGGAGAAAAACAAGCUUCUCCCGCCGCUACAAUCUUCGUCAUCGAGGCUCCAUGGCUUCGUUAUCUGUUACAAAUUCAACAUCAUCUCAUUGUUUCUCCUGAUCAGCCCUCGACAAACUCAAUCCACCUCACGCUUCUCAAAACAGAAACAAAAAAAACACGAUGCGGCUAUCGAAAUGAUCUACUCAACCUCUCUGAUUAA
Non-coding RNA from Vicia faba (fava bean), 243 nucleotides. Lineage: Eukaryota; Viridiplantae; Streptophyta; Magnoliopsida; Fabales; Fabaceae. The record is from the annotation of a GenBank genome assembly.